GGGUGGAGAAAUGGGGUGUGAUCGAGCCUUAUGGCAGGUCCUUGCCGAGGCGGAGCGAGAUGACUCGGGGCAAGGCGCCUCAGUUCCAGGUCUCUUGGGGCGCCGUUGAUAAUUAGGAAAAUGCACCGUAACCGUGUCCCGUCUCAUCUGUCCCCGCUGCCUGCGUGCUGGGAUAAAGUGCGUGCUGAUCACACUACACCCCAGCACACAUAGUUUGUUAGUAUGGGUUUGCCCCAGUAACGAGUAAAGACCCCACCCGGUAUUGUUGAAGGUGGCGCUGGAAUCUCUGAAGUAUUGUAACCCAUAAUCUUUCUACCACUUAUGUGUUCCUUUGUGCCUUCCUGUGUGUCAUACUCCCGUCAGCUUCCCAUUGUCUUCCAUCCCAUCCUAGGGAGGUCAUGAAGAAGCUGCUUUGAGCCGAGGCACAUGCUCUGGGACGUGAGGAGCCUGCUUCCUCUCUGCUCUGUGUCACCUUGACUCUCUAAUAAAGAGUUUAAAAUAGC
Mastomys coucha (southern multimammate mouse) is the source of this 503-nucleotide long non-coding RNA. RefSeq lists it as uncharacterized. Lineage: Eukaryota; Metazoa; Chordata; Mammalia; Rodentia; Muridae. The record is from RefSeq and is a predicted model, not a curated record. The transcript is spliced from 2 exons.